RNAcentral lists this ribosomal RNA (1618 nucleotides) under Salmonella enterica. Its description in RNAcentral is "bacterial LSU rRNA". It matches the Rfam family "Bacterial large subunit ribosomal RNA", at positions 1223 to 2823 of the family's 2925-position model. Lineage: Bacteria; Pseudomonadati; Pseudomonadota; Gammaproteobacteria; Enterobacterales; Enterobacteriaceae. The record is from RNAcentral. RNAcentral also lists the same sequence under 1 other name.
GUUGGGUAGGGGAGCGUUCUGUAAGCCUGCGAAGGUGGCCUGUGAGGGUUGCUGGAGGUAUCAGAAGUGCGAAUGCUGACAUAAGUAACGAUAAAGCGGGUGAAAAGCCCGCUCGCCGGAAGACCAAGGGUUCCUGUCCAACGUUAAUCGGGGCAGGGUGAGUCGACCCCUAAGGCGAGGCCGAAAGGCGUAGUCGAUGGGAAACGGGUUAAUAUUCCCGUACUUGGUGUUACUGCGAAGGGGGGACGGAGAAGGCUAUGUUGGCCGGGCGACGGUUGUCCCGGUUUAAGCGUGUAGGUGUGUGUUCCAGGUAAAUCCGGUUCACUUUAACACUGAGGCGUGACGACGAGGCACUACGGUGCUGAAGCAACAAAUGCCCUGCUUCCAGGAAAAGCCUCUAAGCAUCAGGUAACAUCAAAUCGUACCCCAAACCGACACAGGUGGUCAGGUAGAGAAUACCAAGGCGCUUGAGAGAACUCGGGUGAAGGAACUAGGCAAAAUGGUGCCGUAACUUCGGGAGAAGGCACGCUGACACGUAGGUGAAGUGAUUUACUCAUGGAGCUGAAGUCAGUCGAAGAUACCAGCUGGCUGCAACUGUUUAUUAAAAACACAGCACUGUGCAAACACGAAAGUGGACGUAUACGGUGUGACGCCUGCCCGGUGCCGGAAGGUUAAUUGAUGGGGUCAGCGCAAGCGAAGCUCCUGAUCGAAGCCCCGGUAAACGGCGGCCGUAACUAUAACGGUCCUAAGGUAGCGAAAUUCCUUGUCGGGUAAGUUCCGACCUGCACGAAUGGCGUAAUGAUGGCCAGGCUGUCUCCACCCGAGACUCAGUGAAAUUGAACUCGCUGUGAAGAUGCAGUGUACCCGCGGCAAGACGGAAAGACCCCGUGAACCUUUACUAUAGCUUGACACUGAACAUUGAGCCUUGAUGUGUAGGAUAGGUGGGAGGCUUUGAAGUGUGGACGCCAGUCUGCAUGGAGCCGACCUUGAAAUACCACCCUUUAAUGUUUGAUGUUCUAACGUGGACCCGUAAUCCGGGUUGCGGACAGUGUCUGGUGGGUAGUUUGACUGGGGCGGUCUCCUCCUAAAGAGUAACGGAGGAGCACGAAGGUUGGCUAAUCCUGGUCGGACAUCAGGAGGUUAGUGCAAUGGCAUAAGCCAGCUUGACUGCGAGCGUGACGGCGCGAGCAGGUGCGAAAGCAGGUCAUAGUGAUCCGGUGGUUCUGAAUGGAAGGGCCAUCGCUCAACGGAUAAAAGGUACUCCGGGGAUAACAGGCUGAUACCGCCCAAGAGUUCAUAUCGACGGCGGUGUUUGGCACCUCGAUGUCGGCUCAUCACAUCCUGGGGCUGAAGUAGGUCCCAAGGGUAUGGCUGUUCGCCAUUUAAAGUGGUACGCGAGCUGGGUUUAGAACGUCGUGAGACAGUUCGGUCCCUAUCUGCCGUGGGCGCUGGAGAACUGAGGGGGGCUGCUCCUAGUACGAGAGGACCGGAGUGGACGCAUCACUGGUGUUCGGGUUGUCAUGCCAAUGGCACUGCCCGGUAGCUAAAUGCGGAAGAGAUAAGUGCUGAAAGCAUCUAAGCACGAAACUUGCCCCGAGAUGAGUUCUCCCUGAGACUU